RNAcentral lists this ribosomal RNA (468 nucleotides) under uncultured bacterium. RNAcentral's name for it is "partial 16S ribosomal RNA". It matches the Rfam family "Bacterial small subunit ribosomal RNA", at positions 28 to 507 of the family's 1533-position model. The record is from RNAcentral.
GACGAACGCUGGCGGCGUGCUUAACACAUGCAAGUCGAACGGAAAGGCCCUGCUUUUGUGGGGUGCUCGAGUGGCGAACGGGUGAGUAACACGUGAGUAACCUGCCCUUGACUUUGGGAUAACUUCAGGAAACUGGGGCUAAUACCGGAUAGGAGCUCCUGCUGCAUGGUGGGGGUUGGAAAGUUUCGGCGGUUGGGGAUGGACUCGCGGCUUAUCAGCUUGUUGGUGGGGUAGUGGCUUACCAAGGCUUUGACGGGUAGCCGGCCUGAGAGGGGGACCGGGCACAUGGGGAAGAAGUUACGGAGCGGUCGCCUGCGGGAGGCAGCAGUGGGGAGUGUGGCAUGAUGGGCUGGAGCCUGUUGCCGGCGCGCCGCGUGCGGGAAGCCGGCCUUCGGGUUGUAAACCGCUUUCGCCUGUGACGCAGCGUGAGUGACGGUAAUGGGUAAAGAAGCACCGGCUAACUCCGUG